UGGGGAAUAUUGGACAAUGGGGGCAACCCUGAUCCAGCAAUGCCGCGUGUGUGAAGAAGGCCUUCGGGUUGUAAAGCACUUUCAGACGUGAGGAAAAGCCGGUUGUUAAUACCGACUGGACUUGACGUUAACGUCAGAAGAAGCACCGGCUAACUCCGUGCCAGCAGCCGCGGUAAUACGGAGGGUGCAAGCGUUAAUCGGAAUUACUGGGCGUAAAGCGCGCGUAGGCGGCUUGUUAAGUCAGAUGUGAAAUCCCCGGGCUCAACCUGGGAAUGGCAUUUGAUACUGGCUAGCUAGAAUGUGGUAGAGGUGAGUGGAAUUCCAGGUGUAGCGGUGAAAUGCGUAGAGAUCUGGAGGAACAUCAGUGGCGAAGGCGACUCACUGGGCCAUUAUUGACGCUGAGGUGCGAAAGCGUGGGUAGCAAACAGGAUUAGAUACCCUGGUAGUCCACGCCCUAAACGAUGUCAACUAGGUGUAUGGAGAAUUUAUUCUUUGUGUAUCGAAGCUAAC
RNAcentral lists this ribosomal RNA (510 nucleotides) under uncultured marine bacterium. RNAcentral's name for it is "bacterial SSU rRNA". It matches the Rfam family "Bacterial small subunit ribosomal RNA", at positions 355 to 856 of the family's 1533-position model. The record is from RNAcentral.